CCUACGGGAGGCAGCAGUGGGGAAUAUUGGACAAUGGGCGCAAGCCUGAUCCAGCCAUGCCGCGUGUGUGAAGAAGGCUUUCGGGUUGUAAAGCACUUUCAGCGAGGAAGAAAGCCUGGUGGUUAAUACCCGUCAGGAAGGACAUCACUCGCAGAAGAAGCCCCGGCUAACUCCGUGCCCGCAGCCGCGGUAAUACGGAGGGUGCGAGCGUUAAUCGGAAUUACUGGGCGUAAAGCGCGCGUAGGUGGCUUGGCACACCGGUUGUGAAAGCCCCGGGCUCAACCUGGGAACGGCAUCCGGAACGGCCAGGCUAGAGUGCAGGAGAGGAAGGUAGAAUUCCCGGUGUAGCGGUGAAAUGCGUAGAGAUCGGGAGGAAUCCCAGUGGCGAAGGCGGCCUUCUGGCCUGACACUGACACUGAGGUGCGAAAGCGUGGGUAGCCAACAGGAUUAGAUCCCCUGGUAGUCCCCCCCGUAAACGAUGUCGACUAGCCGUUGGGACC
RNAcentral lists this ribosomal RNA (500 nucleotides) under Halomonas sp. PDA12p. RNAcentral's name for it is "bacterial SSU rRNA". It matches the Rfam family "Bacterial small subunit ribosomal RNA", at positions 338 to 830 of the family's 1533-position model. The record is from RNAcentral. Lineage: Bacteria; Pseudomonadati; Pseudomonadota; Gammaproteobacteria; Oceanospirillales; Halomonadaceae.